GGGCCCGCACAAGCGGUGGAGCAUGUGGUUUAAUUCGAUGAUACGCGAGGAACCUUACCAGGGCUUAAAUGUAGGAUGCAUUAGCUAGAGAUAGCUAUUUCUUCGGACUUCUUACAAGGUGCUGCAUGGUUGUCGUCAGCUCGUGCCGUGAGGUGUCAGGUUAAGUCCUAUAACGAGCGCAACCCCUGUCGUUAGUUGCCAGCAUGUAAAGAUGGGGACUCUAACGAGACUGCCGGUGUAAACCGCGAGGAAGGUGGGGAUGACGUCAAAUCAUCACGGCCCUUACGUCCUGGGCUACACACGUGCUACAAUGGUAUGGACAAUGAGCAGCCACUAUGCGAAUAGGAGCGAAUCUACAAACCAUAUCACAGUUCGGAUCGGAGUCUGCAACUCGACUCCGUG
Molecule: ribosomal RNA, 402 nt
Filed under: uncultured bacterium
Lineage: Bacteria
Description: bacterial SSU rRNA
Rfam family: Bacterial small subunit ribosomal RNA
Source: RNAcentral